AUCAGAAUGACCUGGAGGGCUUGUUAAAAUACAGAAUGCUCAGUGGGCAAGGGUGGUCCUGAGGAUGUGCAUUUCUAACAAGUUCCCAGUUGAUGCUAAU
This 100-nucleotide microRNA precursor is filed under the name Marmota monax (woodchuck). The record is from RNAcentral. Lineage: Eukaryota; Metazoa; Chordata; Mammalia; Rodentia; Sciuridae.